RNAcentral lists this unclassified non-coding RNA (2293 nucleotides) under Haliotis rubra (blacklip abalone). RNAcentral describes it as "uncharacterized LOC124262348, transcript variant X3". The record is from RNAcentral. Lineage: Eukaryota; Metazoa; Mollusca; Gastropoda; Lepetellida; Haliotidae.
CUCCGUGGUGUACGCCGUGACAGAGAGCCCAGUGACGUCAGCCGGAGACACUAACACAACAUUAGCAGCCGUUCAGCCAGCUGCAUCCAACGUCACAGCCAACGCUACGAGUUUGGAGACAGCAAAGGCCGACAACUCGUCUACGAAUGCAACAGACACGCCAAAAACGGAAGGUGUGAAUAAGACAACAACAAAUUAUACCGAAAAAGCGCCUGCUGUAACCCCAUCAGAUGUAUGGGUACCCGCACCCGAGAUAACAUGCACUCUCUCGAGCGAGCGGUGUUCCGUUAAAAGCCAGUGCUGUAGCAAUAGAUGCGUCAAGCUACAUUCGGGAGCAGAUUACCGUUGUCUCAAGAGUUCCGUCGACAAGCCAUGUAAACAUGACUACAACUGUGAGGGCAAGCUCCAAUGUAGCCCCCAUAGGAAAACUUGCUGUGUCGACUUAUGGCAGUCAUGCGUGAUAGCUUCGCAAUGUUGUAACACUGAGCACAGAUGUCUGUCAAUGCAAGGGUUUAUUUAUAAAAAAUGUCUAAAAUCUGAUGCCAUACGUGCUGCAUCUGCCUGGGGAUUGAUGACUCUUCCAUCCAUACUGGCGAUAACGCAGCUGAUGUUGCUAUUAUGAAGUCACUACAACGAUUACUAAUAAUACACUCCCUCCGAUUUGACAUUAUAUUUAUAUGUUUUGAAGAGAUUAGACGUCCUUCAAAGAAAGUGCCUUAUUGUUACUAAUUUGUUUACGUUUUGAUUGUACGUUUUUCCACCGGUAGAAAUGGCCUUAAAAAGGUCGAUAAAGAUCCAAUGGUUAUGGGUUCACGUCUCUAUACAAAAUCCAAAUACACUUAACUACAGAGGUAUUUUGUUUUCAACAGCUUGUGACUCUCAAAUCCAAAUAACCAGAUAAAACAUUUCUUAUUUCGUAGUACAGACUCACGUCAUACCCCACGCUGUGUAAAUACUCUGGAUAUAUGCAUGGUGGCAUUGCCACAUGAUUAUAUGGAACAUUAGACAUGUCAGUUCUGUCCUUUACUGAAAAGGUUUAAAAUCCAAAUAUAACAUAGUUUGCAUUUGACCGUUUUCUAAAAAGGCAUUGCGUCUUCGAUGCCAAAUAUGUAAAUAGUCUGUUCAUUAAGAAAGGUGUUGGAAAAUAUUUGCUUUUUAUUGUCUGCAAAAUGAAUUUUCUAUGCCCAUUGUGUGGAUAAUUGUUAAUGAAUUCAUGGGACAUGAAUUAAUUCAAUCCAUCUCAGCCAGAGCCGCUCUCUCUUCAUGAUCGGUAUAUUUCAGACUAGAGACUCUGUAGCUGUCCCACCAUGCUCUGCCUUAUGUAAUUAAACAUUUAAAUUUGCCUGUAAUGUAGGUCGCUGAGAACGUUACCAACAACGGGAUAAUUAACGUUCAAAGCUUAUUGCUUUCGAAGUGAAGAAAAUGUCCUCUACACAACACACAUGAUGCCUAUUUAUAUCAUGAUAUUCUUGAUUUUGCUUUAAUUUACUUUGAAUGAUAUCAUGAACCAACGGUUUAUGUGACAAUAUGCAACGGCACGUUGUCCGUUGAAACAGCAACGGAGUAACUGUUUGUGGAUAUCCCAGCUUCCGGGCAGUCAUAUUGGGUGAAUCCCGGCAGCCAUAUUGGAUGCGUUAUUUUACAAUUCAGGAAGUGUUCAAUAUGUGCAAAUUAGUGACCCCAUUUAUACACCAUUAUAUAAUUAUUGGGAAGAAAACACCGUAUCAUACAACGAUGCUUAUCACAUGACGUAGAGAACAAGGGAUUCGAGUGAUCUUGAACUCACGUAACUUCAUUGUUAGAAUAUUGUUUGGACUUAUCUGAUAUUGACGCAAUGUGUGGUAUAAAGGACUGCAAGUCUAUGGUUUUAUGUAUUCAUGGCUGUUGGGGGAAUAUGGAGAACACAAACCUUCGAAGCUUUGACGGUGAACUGAGACAGUUGAGAUCUAUAUGCCAUAUAGUGACUGAUUAACAACAAUCUGUGAUACUUCGCGGUAUAUUCCAACACACAUCUCAUCUUUGAAAUGAGUCCAACUGAGGUUGUUGCGUGUUCUACGGAAUAUUUGAACGAUAACCUGCUUAUGAUUACACAAUGAAAUGACGUUACGAAACAGAUAACUUGUUCAAAUCUCUACCUGAGACUAUAGCUAUACAGGUGAGCUUCAGCGACAAGUCCACUACCCUGUUGCAAAAUUGUGAUGUUUGCUGGGAGUGCGAGGAGGUACUUUAUUUUAUCUUUACUUAUUAAUACCAACAAGAAGUAAUGUAGAUGCAAAUAAAAACUUUUAAGAAA